Vicugna pacos (alpaca) is the source of this 3237-nucleotide non-coding RNA. The record is from RefSeq and is a predicted model, not a curated record. Lineage: Eukaryota; Metazoa; Chordata; Mammalia; Artiodactyla; Camelidae.
CGCGCCGCCGCGGCCGCUUCCGGCGCCACCACCUGGGAUCCGGGCAGGUCGGCGUACCCUGAGCCCGGAGUGCCGAGUCGCUGAAGAAAAUUACUUUCCAAGAAGAAAUGUCUUAUUAUAUAACAAAGGAUGUAUUCGUCCUCUCCACUUGCCAGUCAAAUGGAAACACAAUGUGAAUUCUGUUCAGCUAUGUUCUUUGGGGAUUUUGUUGUCAGUAAAGAGAAAAGCAUGCAUCCUCUUGGUCCUUUGGGAUGGCAAGAUCCAAGAAGUCUAGAGAUGAACAUGAUAGCCCACCUUCUUCCACCAGAACAACUUUAAAUCUAUUUGUAAAAUAUAAUGUACCAUUUUUUCAAAUGUGGACUCCACCUUGGGCUUGAAGUAUCAGUGAUGACUCUACCAGGGCUCCAUUAAGUCAUCAUCUUGUGUCCACAGAGCAGAACAGGCAAGAAGAAGUUGAAGUCACCAAUUGCUUCAAGAAACAUGGUGCUCAUAUUAAACAAGCUUAUUGUAUGUUUUAGAGAUACAGAAAGCAGGUAGAUCAUAGGAUUCGGGGGUGGUGCCAAGCUUUUUCAAAAUACAGUACGUUGUCACUUUAAGUUCUUCCAGGGAACAAAAAGCCAAGUGAACAAGAAGGUGGGCGUUUUGCUCUUUUCCUUCCCGUCGUAUUGCCAAGUUCUUAUCGUGUAUUUUAUUUUGCUCAUUUUCCCCUAAAAGCUUGUUUGAUUUCAGCAUCUCAAUGGUCAUUUUUAUUUCAGAGAUGCAUCCUCUGCUUCAACAAUGUAGUUGAAAAUGCUUUUGACCUGUAGGCAGUAUGAAAUGCAUUCUAAAUUAUCGUCCUAGCAGUAACGUGACGAGGUGAAUGGUGAUGUUGUGUAGAAUUAUGACAUCUUACAGAGAGUUCUCGGAAAUUCUUGUCUCACUCUAGAAGUGACAAUAAAUAUCUGCGAAUUCUGAAUAAUGUGGCAGAACACUCACCCUCUCACCCGUCUCUCUCGUGCCUACUGUGUGUAUUUAUGUGCUGACUAGCUUCAAUCCUUCUACUCGGCUGGACAGCCUUGGAACUUAAUCUGUACGAAGCUGACUCAUUCAUGAAUCAAAUCCCCAAUCUUAGACUCAUAAACAUCAUGUUCUGAUCAACUAAGCUAAGUGGCCUAGACCAGCUCUCUGCUGGAAAGUACAAAUACCAAUUUUAAAAACCAGUCAACUACUGGGAGAAAAAAGCAUUUGUGGAUCUGAGAUUUUGGUGCUGCCCCAUUUGUAAAGCUGAUACCAAUCAGUGCAUCUGCAUCUCUGGCUCCUCUGAAACCAGCAUUGGCUACUUUCCUUUUCUUCCCAGACCAUUUGACAACUGCUAAGGGUAGAACUUCAAGGAAGUUCGAUGCACAUUUCUCAAACGGAAAAUUAUUCUGACAUAAUUUACUAAAAAAUUGCUCACCUUGGUUGCAGAGUAGAUGGUCAACAGUGGAAAUGGGUACAGGCCACUGGCAGAGGAAAUGUUGAUAAUCGCCCCUUUAGAUCUAAAAAGGAAGAUGUACCAAGUACACAGGAUGAAGUCAAAUAUACAACUGUCUGUAAACUACAGAUUGAGAUAUAUAAUUAUUUGAAACAGAAUAACCUAGCUGUUUUCCUGACACACAUCUCUCCAUGCCUUUUGUGGGCAUGUGAUAUGCCUGGUCAGUGAAUGAGGCAUAACUCAAUCAACUAAAAAUAGCUCUUGUUUGCAAUUAGCUCAUUUCUCAGUUUUAGUAAUCUGGGGCAUGACCAGAUUAGAUCUUCAGUCUCCUGGAGUUGAUGUCUAUCAUCUGAGGUCUUCUCUGGCCAUAGCAUCAAGAAUUCUCACUCGUAAAAACACUCUCCUACUCCUUGUAUGCUUUUAUUUGACAUAUCAUCACAUACUAUCGUCCUGGAGCAUUUAAUCACUCUAUGAGUAUAAACAUUUUUCUCCUUCAAAAAAAAAAAAAAAACCCAAAACCCAUAAGCUUCUAGACAUUAUAGCCCUUGUCCUAUACACUUUUCUCCAAAACACUCUGCAAAGUCCUGAACCUAUUAACAGGUACUCAAUAAAAGCCUCUGGCAACGAAUGAAUGGUUAUGUCUGGCCCCUCCUGCUUUCCCUGGUUUGUACAUAUUCAGGUGCUAAAUAAUGAGUAGACUCUAAAAUCAUGGAACUCUAGGGGGAGGGUAUAGCUUAAGUGGUAGAGCACAUGCUUAGCAUGCACGAGGUCUUGGGUUCACUCCCCAGUACCUCCUCUAAAUAAGUAAAUAAAUAAAUAAACCCAAUUACCUCCCCCAACAAGCAAAUUUUAAAAAUAUAUUAAAAAGAAAUAAAAUAAAAUCAUGGCACUCUAUAGUUUAGCAAACCAUAUUCUUUUUUUUUCCCCAAACCAUAUUCUUUUGCCAAGAGGCAAAGCUCAAUUUCUACUGUGCCUUUUAGAGAUUAAUGAAAGUUAAAGUCAGAAAGUUAUUGGGAAUUACUAACUCUACAAAUCAAUAAAAAUUAGUUUGAGAAAAGCAAUGCUGUAAACAUACUAGUUGCUAGCAGGCAUGUGUGGCUUGGGUGAAGCGUGGAAUUAACGGUUUUAGGAAUUUUGGCCACUGCAACCUGAUCCCACCUACUGCCCGUCCUCAGAUCCGGUUCCUUUUUUUCUACUUUCUCAUUAUUCGUCUGAAUUCACUUCCCCCAAGGCCUUUUUUUUUUUUAACAAUUAAAAAAAGAACUAGAUAGACCCCCCUUUUAUGCAAAGUAAUAAAAGAUAUAAUUAGAUUGCAUCUAAGUUAGUUUAGACGUAAAUCUGAAAAGAAAUAAUCCCCAAAGGUCACCCAGUCCAUCUGCCAGCCUCUAGGCGAGAUGCCUCUUCAACCAUCAAAUGGAAGUCUGGACGCGCAGCUUAAUGAAUCACUGAAAACAAGUUGUCUUUCUGUUUUUGUUUUUGAAACUGAAGUCCUUAUUGGCAAUAUACACUUUCCUAAGCAGUGAAAUCCAUUAACAUGUCAAGUGUAGAAAUCAAAUCUCAAAUUUUAAAUUGUUAUAUUAUGGUUUCAAAGAACAAUGGAAAUAUUUAGUCAAUGUAUUAAUUACAUUAUGUAUUAAUUGUAUUGAUUGUAUCAUGCCUGUAUUUUCUUACUUUUGUCUUUCACAAAGACAGAAAAGGCUUUUCUUUUUAAAUUUUAAGAGAGUAAGAGUGUCUAUUAAGAGUUAAACCCAAUUACUCGAAGACAAAAACUGGUGAAUGAGCAA